UCUUUCCCAAUCCACCCA
This 18-nucleotide microRNA is filed under the name Prunus persica (peach). RNAcentral's name for it is "microRNA miRNA_410". Lineage: Eukaryota; Viridiplantae; Streptophyta; Magnoliopsida; Rosales; Rosaceae. The record is from RNAcentral.